GAUGAACGCUAGCGGCAGGCUUAACACAUGCAAGUCGAGGGGUAUAGGUUUUCGGACCUAGAGACCGGCGCACGGGUGCGUAACGCGUAUGCAAUCUACCUUUCACAGAGGGAUAGCCCAGAGAAAUUUGGAUUAAUACCUCUUAGUAUUAUGAAGUGGCAUCAUUUUUUUAUUAAAGUUCCAACGGUGAAAGAUGAGCAUGCGUCCCAUUAGCUAGAUGGUAAGGUAACGGCUUACCAUGGCUACGAUGGGUAGGGGUCCUGAGAGGGAGAUCCCCCACACUGGUACUGAGACACGGACCAGACUCCUACGGGAGGCAGCAGUGAGGAAUAUUGGUCAAUGGACGCAAGUCUGAACCAGCCAUGCCGCGUGCAGGAUGACGGUCCUAUGGAUUGUAAACUGCUUUUGUACGAGAAGAAACACUCCUUCGUGAAGGAGCUUGACGGUAUCGUAAGAAUAAGGAUCGGCUAACUCCGUGCCAGCAGCCGCAGUAA
This 494-nucleotide ribosomal RNA is filed under the name uncultured bacterium. RNAcentral's name for it is "partial 16S ribosomal RNA". It matches the Rfam family "Bacterial small subunit ribosomal RNA", at positions 28 to 523 of the family's 1533-position model. The record is from RNAcentral.